GAUGAACGCUGGCGGCGUGCUUAACACAUGCAAGUCGAACGGAAAGGCGCGGAGUUUGCGGGGUGCUCGUGUGCGGAGGGGGUGAGAAAAACGUGAGUAACCUGCACUUAAAUGUGGGAGAAAUCCAGGAGACAGGGGCGAUUACCGGAUAGGAGCUCUUGCUGCAUGGGGUGGGUUGGAAAGUUUCGGCGGUUGGGGAUGGACUCGAGGCUUAUCAGCUGGAUGGGGUGGUAGGGGUUUACAAAGGCUGUGAGGGGUAGCCGGCCUGGGAGGGUGAACGGCCUCCUUGCGACUGAGAUACGGACCAGACUCCUACGGGAGGCAGCAGUGGAGAGUAUUGCGCAAUGGGCGGACGCCUGAUGCAGCGACGCCGCGUGCGUGAUAACCGCCUUCGGGUUAUAAACCGCUUUCGCCUGUGACGAAGCGUGAGUGACGGUAAUGGGUCAAGAAGCACCGGCUAACUACGUG
This 468-nucleotide ribosomal RNA is filed under the name uncultured bacterium. RNAcentral's name for it is "partial 16S ribosomal RNA". It matches the Rfam family "Bacterial small subunit ribosomal RNA", at positions 28 to 507 of the family's 1533-position model. The record is from RNAcentral.